RNAcentral lists this ribosomal RNA (427 nucleotides) under uncultured beta proteobacterium. Its description in RNAcentral is "bacterial SSU rRNA". It matches the Rfam family "Bacterial small subunit ribosomal RNA", at positions 355 to 774 of the family's 1533-position model. Lineage: Bacteria; Pseudomonadati; Pseudomonadota; Betaproteobacteria. The record is from RNAcentral.
UGGGGAAUUUUGGACAAUGGGCGAAAGCCUGAUCCAGCCAUGCCGCGUGAGUGAAGAAGGCCUUCGGGUUGUAAAGCUCUUUUAGUCGGAAAGAAAGAGUUGCAAUGAAUAAUUGUGAUUUAUGACGGUACCGACAGAAAAAGCACCGGCUAACUACGUGCCAGCAGCCGCGGUAAUACGUAGGGUGCGAGCGUUAAUCGGAAUUACUGGGCGUAAAGGGUGCGCAGGCGGUUUUGUAAGUCAGAUGUGAAAUCCCCGGGCUUAACCUGGGAAUUGCGUUUGAAACUGCAAGACUAGAGUGCAGCAGAGGGGAGUGGAAUUCCAUGUGUAGCAGUAAAAUGCGUAGAGAUGUGGAAGAACACCGAUGGCGAAGGCAGCUCCCUGGGUUGACACUGACGCUCAUGCACGAAAGCGUGGGGAGCAAACA